RNAcentral lists this non-coding RNA (29 nucleotides) under Mus musculus (house mouse). The record is from RNAcentral. Lineage: Eukaryota; Metazoa; Chordata; Mammalia; Rodentia; Muridae.
UAGAAAAGAUGCAGAAUUUAAGAAAGGAU